RNAcentral lists this transfer RNA (72 nucleotides) under bacterium. RNAcentral's name for it is "tRNA-Val". It matches the Rfam family "tRNA". From Rfam's summary of the family: Transfer RNA (tRNA) molecules are approximately 80 nucleotides in length. Their secondary structure includes four short double-helical elements and three loops (D, anti-codon, and T loops). The record is from RNAcentral.
GCGCGCUUAGCUCAAUGGUAGAGCGACGCUUUGACGUAGCGUAGGUUGGGGGUUCGAUCCCCUCAGCGCGCA